CCCCCCCCCCCCCCCGCGGCCGGGCCAAGUCAGGCAGGGCAGCGCGGCGUGACGAGCGCCGGGCACCCGCAGCCCCGGCGGCGAGCGGCUCCCGCACCGCCCCGCGCAGCCCCGCACCGCGCCGGCGGCUCCCUCCCGCGGCGGAGCGCGGCGGCCGGGCACCAUCGCCGCCCGCGGACCAUCGCCGCCCCGCGAACGGGCAGAGGCGCAGCGCGAGUGACCCGGUGCGGCGAGUCACUGGUCGGGCUCGCAGGGGGAGCCCCGCGGCGCAGCGAGCUCCGUCACGGAGAGCAGGAGGGACCGUUCCAGAUAACUGCUGAAUUUGGAAGACCCUUCAAGUGUCAGCCCCGCCAGAAACACGCAGGUACAAACAACUGAGCAGAAAAGGAAGACGCCUGCAUGCCUAGGAAGCUUCCCUUCCGAAACCCCAGCGGAGUCCUCUACCAGCAAAGGCAGAUGCUUCCUAUCUACAAUGCGCUCUACCCAGAGAGGAAAAUAAAUGCAGAACUAAAGUGCCAAGAGAUAUGCUGAAAGACACAAGCCACCUCUAGUGAAAUUGCUUCAAAAAUAAGAACAGAAGUACAUCAGUUUAUCUAUAUUCUACAUAUAUUAGAAGAUUCACACACUGCAAAAAUGGACGAGCAAUUCUUAACUGUACUCCUGUGGUGUUAAUACUCGCUUUGUAGUAUAUUUCUCAGUAGUAGUAACCACUUAGAUUAUGAUCCUCAAUUAUGUUCUCCACAGUGGUUUUGUUUUUUAAACAUAAAAUGAAAUUCCCCUCCUCUUUCUGAAAGAAUUGAGUUUCGAAAAGACCCUCCAAGUGACCCCUCAAAUAAAGAUAGUGAGAGAAAAAGAGAGAGAGAGAGAGAGAGAGAGGGAGAGAAAGGAUACAGGUACCUCAUGCAAAAACUGUAAUUUAAAAUGAUAUCCUGUACUGAAAAAUCCUUCCAGCCCUCAACCCUUAUGUGACUUUUCCCUUAUUUCUCCUUUUUUCCUCCUUUCACAUAUACUCACACAUGUAAAAUGGAAACAGGAGAAGUAGAGCGAUAUAGCAGAAGUCAUCUCAGUUUCACAGAGCACUUUGAGAUUGUCAGAUGAAAGGCAAAAUCUGAAUGCUCAGGAUUUAUUAUUUGGAAACAACCCAGCGGUGGAAGGAUUCACAGAGCAGUGUCUGCAUGCUGCGAGAACACAGCUUUACUUGUUUCCGGUGAGCUGCACGUCUGAGAAGGCACAAGGGACUGCAUAUGAGACCUGCUCUGCAAAGACUUAACACGUGCACAUGUAAUCUUGGAAUUUUAGGAAGGUCCCAUGUGUAAAAAAUAAAGUGUUUUAUUGGUAUAGAAA
Dromaius novaehollandiae (emu) is the source of this 1344-nucleotide long non-coding RNA. RefSeq lists it as uncharacterized. The record is from RefSeq and is a predicted model, not a curated record. NCBI's taxonomy places the organism in Eukaryota, Metazoa, Chordata, Aves, Casuariiformes, Dromaiidae. The transcript has 3 exons.